RNAcentral lists this ribosomal RNA (900 nucleotides) under uncultured Rhodocyclus sp. RNAcentral's name for it is "partial 16S ribosomal RNA". It matches the Rfam family "Bacterial small subunit ribosomal RNA", at positions 603 to 1501 of the family's 1533-position model. Lineage: Bacteria; Pseudomonadati; Pseudomonadota; Betaproteobacteria; Rhodocyclales; Rhodocyclaceae. The record is from RNAcentral.
CCGGGCUCNACNUGGNNNCUGCGUUUGUGACUNNGAGNCUAGAGUUGNGCAGAGNGGGGUNGANUUCCACGUGUAGCAGUGAAAUGNGNAGAGAUGUGGAGGAACACNGAUGGCGAAGGCANNNCCCUGGGNNNAUACUGACGCUCAUGCANGAAAGCGUGNGGAGCAAACAGGAUUAGAUACNNUAGUAGUCCACGCCCUAAACGAUGUCAAGUAGGUGUUGGGAGGGUUAAACCUAUUAGUGCAGUAGCUAACGCGUGAAGUUGACCGCCUGNGGAGUACGGCAGCAAGGCUAAAACUCAAAGGAAUUGACGGGGACCNGCACAAGCGGUGGAUGAUGUGGAUUAAUUCGAUGCAACGCGAAAAACCUUACCUACCCUUGACAUGUCAGGAAUCCCGAAGAGAUUUGGGAGUGCCCGAAAGGGAGCNUGAACACAGGUGCUGCAUGGCUGUCGUCAGCUCGUGUCGUGAGAUGUUGGGUUAAGUCCCGCAACGAGCGCAACCCUCGUCGUUAAUUGCCAUCAUUCAGUUGGGCACUUUAAUGAGACUGCCGGUGACAAACCGGAGGAAGGUGGGGAUGACGUCAAGUCCUCAUGGCCCUUAUGGGUAGGGCUUCACACGUCAUACAAUGGUCGGUCCAGAGGGUUGCCAACCCGCGAGGGGGAGCUAAUCUCAGAAAGCCGAUCGUAGUCCGGAUUGCAGUCUGCAACUCGACUGCAUGAAGUCGGAAUCGCUAGUAAUCGCGGAUCAGCAUGUCGCGGUGAAUACGUUCCCGGGUCUUGUACACACCGCCCGUCACACCAUGGGAGCGGGUUCUGCCAGAAGUAGUUAGCCUAACCGCAAGGAGGGCGAUUACCACGGCAGGGUUCGUGACUGGGGUGAAGUCGUAACAAGGUAACC